UGGGGAAUAUUGCACAAUGGGGGGAACCCUGAUGCAGCAACGCCGCGUGAGUGAAGAAGUAUUUCGGUAUGUAAAGCUCUAUCAGCAGGGAAGAAAAUGACGGUACCUGACUAAGAAGCUCCGGCUAAAUACGUGCCAGCAGCCGCGGUAAUACGUAUGGAGCAAGCGUUAUCCGGAUUUACUGGGUGUAAAGGGAGCGCAGGCGGUACGGCAAGUCCGAUGUGAAAGCCCGGGGCUCAACCCCGGGACUGCAUUGGAAACUGCCGCACUAGAGUGCCGGAGAGGUAAGUGGAAUUCCUAGUGUAGCGGUGAAAUGCGUAGAUAUUAGGAGGAACACCAGUGGCGAAGGCGGCUUACUGGACGGUAACUGACGCUGAGGCUCGAAAGCGUGGGGAGCAAACAGG
RNAcentral lists this ribosomal RNA (404 nucleotides) under uncultured bacterium. RNAcentral's name for it is "bacterial SSU rRNA". It matches the Rfam family "Bacterial small subunit ribosomal RNA", at positions 355 to 776 of the family's 1533-position model. The record is from RNAcentral.